RNAcentral lists this ribosomal RNA (535 nucleotides) under Hemitrichia crassifila. Its description in RNAcentral is "SSU rRNA". It matches the Rfam family "Eukaryotic small subunit ribosomal RNA", at positions 27 to 565 of the family's 1831-position model. Lineage: Eukaryota; Evosea; Eumycetozoa; Trichiida; Trichiidae. The record is from RNAcentral.
UAUGCUUGUCCCAAAGCUUAAGCCAUGCAUGUCUACGAACGACGGUCAUGACGAACCGGAAUCUGCGAACGGCUCCGUAUAUCUGUUGUAAUCCAACGCCGACCAGUAACAGCGGCAAACCUCGGUAAUUCUGUGGCUAAUACGUGUACUACAGGCUGACCUCCCCAUGGGGGGCCAGCCCGGUCUUGCCGGUCGACCAACGGGGCCCUCACGGGCUCUCGCGUGAGUGCUGGCAAGGGUACCUGACCGCAGCUUCGGCUGUGGCCCGCGCGAUGGGCGCCAGACCUAUCAACUCGAUGGCCGGGCCAGGCCCGGCCAUGGUGAUUACGGGUACAGAGGAUUAGGGUUCGAUCCUGGAGAGGUAGCCUGAGAGAUCGCUACUACUUCUAAGGAAGGCAGCAGGCGCGCAACGUUCCCAAUGGGGAUACCCUGAGGACGUGACGGGACAUACCAAUGCUCGGCCCUUAAAGCCGAGCAAUUGGAAUGGGGGACCUCUAAACCCCACACCGAGUAACAAUUGGAGGACAAGUCUGGU